GCCGACGUAGCUCAAUCGGUAGAGCAGCUGAAUCGUAAUCAGCAGGUUGUCCGUUCGACUCGGAUCGUCGGCUCCA
RNAcentral lists this transfer RNA (76 nucleotides) under Bacillota bacterium. RNAcentral describes it as "Firmicutes bacterium (anaerobic digester metagenome) tRNA-Thr". It matches the Rfam family "tRNA". Rfam says of the family: Transfer RNA (tRNA) molecules are approximately 80 nucleotides in length. Their secondary structure includes four short double-helical elements and three loops (D, anti-codon, and T loops). Further hydrogen bonds mediate the characteristic L-shaped molecular structure. tRNAs have two regions of fundamental functional importance: the anti-codon, which is responsible for specific mRNA codon recognition, and the 3' end, to which the tRNAs corresponding amino acid is attached (by aminoacyl-tRNA synthetases). tRNAs cope with the degeneracy of the genetic code in two manners: having more than one tRNA (with a specific anti-codon) for a particular amino acid; and 'wobble' base-pairing, i.e. permitting non-standard base-pairing at the 3rd anti-codon position. The record is from RNAcentral. Lineage: Bacteria; Bacillati; Bacillota.